UGUUAACCAAGUUGUGAUUUCAUUCUAAAAUACAAACUUGAGGGUAUUUUCAAAAAAAUUGUGAUUUCAUUUUAUUCCAUUCUUAAUCAUAGCAAGGUUCUUAUUUAUUUUUCUCUUGCCUUCACUCUUUUAUCUUUUGAUUCACUUUCUUUAAACAUAGAUAAUGACCUAUGUUGUGGUGAAGUCUUCUAAGCUUGAUUUGGAGGAGCCCGUUUAAUAUAUCCAUAAGAUUUGGAUCCUUUCUUCUAAGAACGUCCAAAAUCUCGAGAAAGGUUUCUUUUUAUUAUUAUUAUUAUUGUUACUUUUACUACAUUAUUACUAAUUAAUCUUAAUUAAACCAAAUGAAUUUGUUUUGAUGUUAUUAUUACACCAUGCGUUGCUUAUUAUUUCAGGUAGAAAAGGUAGUCAAGGUAAGUGUUUAACCCCUUGGGGUUUCCUAUAUGGAUGAAUAUUUUUAUAUAUGGAAUGGUUCAAAUGACAAUGGGAAAUUUUAGAUUUUAUUAGUUUUGUGUUCCUUCUACUCUAUAUGUCUCAAAAUUGUAUUUUAUUCUUCGUGUGUAUUGUUACCAAACAUUUUAGAGAUCCAACAUAUUUUUACCUACCUACGUUUUUUCAAGCUCUUUUAAUUUUACUCUCAAUUUUUUAUAAUUGUAUAUAUUUUUUAAACAACUUGUGUCAUUGAUUUUUCAUUGACAAUAUUGCAUUAAAGUGUACCUUUCAUUGAUUUUUUUGUUUAUUUUAUAGAUAUGUUCUUAUUGUUGGAUAAUUGGAGAAAUAAGUUGUCUCUAAUGACAAGUGAGUCAAGAUCAAUAUGAUUCUAGACUAUGAAGCCAUUUAUCAUUUAUGCUAUCUGUCCAUGAAUAUUUUAUCUUCCAUGUUAUAAAUUCCUCAAACUUUUCUUAUUUUCUUAUUUGUCACCCUGAUUUCAGCAUAAAAAUGUUUUCUUUGCUGAUUUCAGGACAAAGAUGUUUACUCUGUAGCUUUUUUAUAGGUUAAAUUGAUGAGUUUUCCUUGGUGCAACAGCGAAUAUGAGGACUACACUCCAUUGGCUCAAAAUACCACAUUUAGGAUGACAUUUCUUAUUUCACUCUUUCACUUUAUUCUCACACCAACCUUCUUAUUCACCAACUCUCCUCACAAAACUCACACCAAGUAAUAACUUAUGAUAUUCUCUGAACAUGUUUGAGUAUACAAAAUGAAAAUUUCUUUUAUUUUUUCUACAAGGCCAUCUAAAAAUGAAUGAAAUGCUCUAGACUUUAGUCCUCGAAGGUCACUUUUGGAUGAAAUUGCUGCAAAGCCAGUACCAUUUGAGAACUCGAUCAACUCUCCACUUCUAUUUCCAUUAGUUGCAGAAACAACAUGAAGAAAAGGCCCUCUUGAUGGCUUCAAUAAGUACAAUCAUGGGUGGAAUAUUAGUGCCUUUAUCCGAUUAAUGCCUUUAAAUCAUUAGAACUAUGUGAUAUUGUCAAGAUUAAUGCCUUUAUUCGGUUACCAAUUUCAAUAGAUAUGUGAUAUUAUGGUUUUCUAAGCUCCAAUGAAUUUGUAAAUUGACAAUUCAAUUGGUGUUAGCUGCUUUGCCAUUGUACAUUAGUCUUUAAGAACUUUACUUCAGUUUGUGCUAUUAGGCCCGCCUCUAGGCGCAAAUACAAAUAUUUUACCUUCCAUUACCUCUUCUCCUUAUUUGGUUCUUGCAUGGAGUUCUGAAAUGUGAACGCAGACAAUAAAAU
This 1727-nucleotide long non-coding RNA is filed under the name Lupinus angustifolius (narrow-leaved blue lupine). RNAcentral's name for it is "long non-coding RNA (LANG_LNC003670)". Lineage: Eukaryota; Viridiplantae; Streptophyta; Magnoliopsida; Fabales; Fabaceae. The record is from RNAcentral.